Molecule: ribosomal RNA, 429 nt
Filed under: uncultured bacterium
Lineage: Bacteria
Description: bacterial SSU rRNA
Rfam family: Bacterial small subunit ribosomal RNA
Source: RNAcentral
UCGAGAAUCUUCCACAAUGGACGAAAGUCUGAUGGAGCGACGCCGCGUGAUUGAUGAAGUCCUUCGGGACGUAAAGAUCUUUUAUGGGGGAGGAAGUAAUUGACGUUACCCCAUGAAUAAGAGGCUCCUAACUCUGUGCCAGCAGGAGCGGUAAUACAGAGGCCUCAAGCGUUACCCGGAAUCACUGGGCGUAAAGGGUGUGUAGGCGGUCGUGUUAGUCCUUCGUGAAAGGUCUUGGGCUUAACCCAGGAACCGCGGGGGAAACGGCACGACUUAGAGGAUGUGAGAGGUAAAGGGAACUCAUGGUGUAGGGGUGAAAUCCGUUGAUAUCAUGGGGAACACCAAAUGCGAAGGCACUUUACUGGCACACUCCUGACGCUGAAACACGAAAGCGUGGGAAUCGAACGGGAUUAGAUACCCCCGUAGUCC